Molecule: RNA transcript, 1387 nt
Organism: Chenopodium quinoa (quinoa)
Lineage: Eukaryota; Viridiplantae; Streptophyta; Magnoliopsida; Caryophyllales; Amaranthaceae
Gene name: methylcrotonoyl-CoA carboxylase subunit alpha, mitochondrial-like
Exons: 5
Source: RefSeq, a predicted model, not a curated record
AUAAUAGCAAGCACAUAUACAUUUGGAAUGGCCUACAAUACCACCACUUUUGGCUAAAAAUUGGGAUAAUAGCAAGCACAUAUACAUUUGGAAUGGCUGGUUUGGUGGUCAAGGUUCUCAUGAAGAAUGAACAGAAAGUAGAGGCAGGGCAACCAGUAUUAGUAAUGGAAGCUAUGAAAAUGGAGCAUGUUGUAAAGGUUCCUUCCUUUGGUUUUAUUCACGGGCUUCAAGUAGCUCCUAGGCAGCAAGUUUCAGAUGGAAUGGUGCAUAAAAGUUUUUGGGUAUUCUGAUUGCUGUUGGUGAGGCUGCAACCAGCGCUUAGGGGGAGCCCUCUCCAAGGACCCGCAGGCGCGACAUCGAGAGGAGAGGGUGCGGACAGGGUUUUGAAUUCUCCCUCGAGUUCCUGAAACAAAUAUUUACAUCAUCUCAACAUAGGUUCAGUUGCUUACCUUUGCUUGAGUAAGAAAAGGUCAGCUAGGGUCAAAGUUAUAGGCAUAAAAAUAAUGAAGAAAUUGGAGACACAAGGGAUAUUGAUAACAUCACAUAAGGAUAUUAUCAUGAGGAAGGACUUAUUGAUCAAGAUCUUGAACAUGAAGAUGCAUGUUCGCAUAGUGAACCACUAAACGGUGAGGAACUCAUGAAUGUAGUGGAGGAAGAGGAACUUAACAUGUCAGCACUCAGCAGAUGCGACUGUUGUUGAAAAGCCGGCUGAGGUUAGGAAGAAGCCAGCUAAGAGGUUUGAUUUUGUGUUUGAACCAAACCAGAAAAGAGAGCAAAAGCAGCAGCUAAGACCAGGGGCACAGACUUUGUGUUUGAUUUUGUGUUUGUACUAUUACAACCUUGUUUAAUGAAAAUAUGUAGCUUUAUAUAUAUGUUAGUGUUUCUAUAUCAAUUUAAAUGAAUUUUUUUUUUUUUGAGGGUAUUUUUGGCACUGAUUUUGAAACAGAACCGGUGCUAAAAGUUUUUUUUUUUUUAAUUUUUUUGGGCCAUUUUUCGCACCAGUUCACUGCAAGAACCGGUGCGAAAUCUUUUGGUAUUUGUCAUCCCUCAAAUAAGGACCGGUUCAAAACUGGUGCUAAAUGGGGGUUUUGAACCGGUGCUCAUUUGUAUUUUUCGCCUAGUGCACGAAAACAAUCAAAAUACCCCUUGUUACUUGCAUUAGAUUCUUAAUUCCACUUUGAUUGUGCAAUGCCCCGUAUCCUUGUGGUUCGACCCUAGCUUGCCACUAUCUAGUGUGAACUUCAUAGAGUUAGGUUAGGAUUAUAAAUUGUUGAUUUGAUUUAGGAUAGUAGACACGACCUAUUAUCCGCCGAUUAGAAUCAUGCUUAUGAUUUUUUUUUUUCUUCUUUUUUUUUUUUUCCUUUUUUUCCUUUUUUUUAUUUGUUUU